RNAcentral lists this ribosomal RNA (301 nucleotides) under uncultured bacterium. Its description in RNAcentral is "partial 16S ribosomal RNA". It matches the Rfam family "Bacterial small subunit ribosomal RNA", at positions 509 to 807 of the family's 1533-position model. The record is from RNAcentral.
CAGCCGCCGCGGUAAUACAGAGGGUGCGAGCGUUAAUCGGAUUUACUGGGCGUAAAGCGUGCGUAGGCGGCUUCUUAAGUCUGAUGUGAAAUCCCUGAGCUUAACUUAGGAAUUGCAUUCGAUACUGGGAAGCUAGAGUAUGGGAGAGGAUGGUAGAAUUCCAGGUGUAGCGGUGAAAUGCGUAGAGAUCUGGAGGAAUACCGAUGGCGAAGGCAGCCAUCUGGCCUAAUACUGACGCUGAGGUACGAAAGCAUGGGGAGCAAACAGGAUUAGAUACCCCUGUAGUCCCUGUCUCUUAUAC